Long non-coding RNA from Heterocephalus glaber (naked mole-rat), 1836 nucleotides. RefSeq lists it as uncharacterized. Lineage: Eukaryota; Metazoa; Chordata; Mammalia; Rodentia; Bathyergidae. The record is from RefSeq and is a predicted model, not a curated record.
GAAUUCGUUUUGUCUGAGCUAAUUGAAUCAUUAAUUCUCUGGAUUUUCAAGAAUUUAUUCCUUCUGACUCCUAGCAGACCUGGACGGUUGGAAAAGCAUGGUGCAUAUUAUUCAACAGUCAAAAUAUGAAUUGUGUUAGCAAAUUUUGAUCUGAUUUCAUCAUGACUGCUGAGAGAUUAUAUUUUACUUCUUAGAAGAAUUUUCAUCAUAAACUGAACAGAGAAGAAAUAAUGGAUCUUUUUGGACUAAGAAUAAACAGCAUACUUCAUUAGUCAAUGGAAGAGUGUUUCUUGAGUAACAACAAUGAAGAUUAUUCAUUGAAACUCAUAAGCCAAAAAUAAAUAAAUAAAUAAAUAAAUAAAUAUAAAGGGGCAGAAGCAUACAGAGGAGCAAGAUUUAAUAUCAAAGAAUGCCUAAAGUAUUUUUAUAACUUAGGUUGAUCAUUUUGCUUUUCUAGAAACACCUUUAACAUUAGAAUUUAACUACUGGUAAGGUGAAAUAAUGUUUGUGUUUUUUUUUUUUGGUACUGGGGAUCUAAGGGUGAAAUAAUGUUUAAGAGCACAGGCAAACAUCAUUAGAUUUCUAAAAUGAUGCUUUACUCUUAACAUAGCAAGUUUAUUUGAAUCAAAGAUAGUAAAAUAUGAAGUAAAAUUUGAACUUGGUAUAAAACCAAAGUAAUUACAAAUCAUGUUUUUUGGUACCGGGGAUUGAACUCAGGUCCUUGCACUUGGGCAGCAGGUGGAGAAACCACUGAGCUAAAUCCCCGGCCCUACGAAAUCGCUUUUGUAUGCAUUUUUUACUUUGUUUCAGUCUUUCUCUCUGUGAGGUAUGACAGAUUAAAUACGCCCUCCAAUGAUAGUUUUUAAUUAGUUAACAUGUAUUUACUAAGUACUUGCUGUGUGCUAGGCAGCCUAAGUACAGACAUGGAAAACAAGAUGAUACAACCAAACAUGGCAAAUAUCAAAACCAUGACAUUUCUCAAAAUCACGGUAAUAUUUUCACAUUAAUAAUAUUUAAUACUUUGUGCUGUAGGAACUUUAUACAUUUGAAAUGCAAAUAUUCUGGAAAAUGGUUGGUAGAAAGUUAAAUUCACAAAAUAUAAUAGAUCACAGCUGUUAGUAUGUUUGAGCUGAUAUUCUAUAGUUUAAGUGAGAACUUUGCAGAAUUCCCACAAAAAGCUCUUCUCAUGUGUGUCUAUUUAAGUAGUCAUGUGGAAAGGAUCUUAGAAAAGACUGAAAAAAUAGAUCAAUCUGUAUUUGAAGAACAAAAAAUACAAUGAAAUCAAUGGAUGUUCUUUCACUGCUGUCAAAUCAAACUUUUCCCACCUACACUCAAAAUGAGCAGUUACCUCCUAUUUGAAGAGUUUGCAGUAAUUCUGCUGCAGACCUACUGCUGUAUUGGAUAGCUAAAGGAAGAAAAGCAAAAAACUUUAAGGAGAUCUUAUAAUUCCAAACAUGGUCCUGCUGAGUUGCCCAGGCUAGACUCGAAUUUAUUGUCCUCCUGCUUCAGCCACUGGAAUAAGCAGAAAUUACAGCAGGGAAAUGUGACUAGAAAAGAAAGGAGAGGUGGCUGAGCCAAUCAUGCUCCUUGGCAUUUUUUAGGACUUGGGACUCAGUUCCUUCCAAAAUGGAAGCCACAGGAUGGGAGCGCACAGCACACAAGGAAAGAAGCAAAUCGGGAUGAAUUGUGGAAAAUCAGUAUUGAAUCCCUUCCCAAAAGAUAGGAAAGAUUGUGAAACUGCCCAAGAGAAAAGUAAUACAAUCAGUCCUCCUUGGUUUCUGAAAUGAAGGGACCCAGCCAGUCUGAGCCUCAACUGAAGAGCUGUCCUUACAUCUU